GGGCUCUCUGAGAGGAGAAUCCCCCACACUGGUACUGAGACACGGACCAGACUCCUACGGGAGGCAGCAGUAAGGAAUAUUGGUCAAUGGGCGGAAGCCUGAACCAGCCAUGCCGCGUGCAGGAUGACUGCCCUAUGGGUUGUAAACUGCUUUUGUCCAGGAAUAAACCUUUCUACGUGUAGGAAGCUGAAUGUACUGGAAGAAUAAGGAUCGGCUAACUCCGUGCCAGCAGCCGCGGUAAUACGGAGGAUCCGAGCGUUAUCCGGAUUUAUUGGGUUUAAAGGGUGCGUAGGCGGCCUAUUAAGUCAGGGGUGAAAUACGGUGGCUCAACCAUCGCAGUGCCUUUGAUACUGAUGGGCUUGAAUCCAUUUGAAGUGGGCGGAAUAAGACAAGUAGCGGUGAAAUGCAUAGAUAUGUCUUAGAACUCCGAUUGCGAAGGCAGCUCACUAAGCUGGUAUUGACGCUGAUGCACGAAAGCGUGGGGAUCGAACAGGAUUAGAUACCCUGGUAGUCCACGCCCUAAACGAUGAUAACUCGAUGUUGGCGAUAGACAGCCAGCGUCCAAGCGAAAGCGUUAAGUUAUCCACCUGGGGAGUACGCCCGCAAGGGUGAAACUCAAAGGAAUUGACGGGGGCCCGCACAAGCGGAGGAGCAUGUGGUUUAAUUCGAUGAUACGCGAGGAACCUUACCCGGGCUUGAAAGUUAGUGAAGAGUGCAGAGACGCACUCGUCCUUCGGGACACGAAACUAGGUGCUGCAUGGCUGUCGUCAGCUCGUGCCGUGAGGUGUUGGGUUAAGUCCCGCAACGAGCGCAACCCCUAUGUUUAGUUGCCAGCAUGUAAUGGUGGGGACUCUAAACAGACUGCCUGUGCAAACAGAGAGGAAGGUGGGGACGACGUCAAGUCAUCAUGGCCCUUACGUCCGGGGCUACACACGUGCUACAAUGGAUGGUACAGCGGGCAGCUACAUAGCAAUAUGAUGCUAAUCUCUAAAAGCCAUUCACAGUUCGGAUUGGGGUCUGCAACUCGACCCCAUGAAGUUGGAUUCGCUAGUAAUCGCGUAUCAGCAAUGACGCGGUGAAUACGUUCCCGGGCCUUGUACACACCGCCCGUCAAGCCAUGAAAGUUGGGGGUACCUAAAGC
RNAcentral lists this ribosomal RNA (1141 nucleotides) under Sphingobacterium multivorum. Its description in RNAcentral is "bacterial SSU rRNA". It matches the Rfam family "Bacterial small subunit ribosomal RNA", at positions 287 to 1427 of the family's 1533-position model. The record is from RNAcentral. Lineage: Bacteria; Pseudomonadati; Bacteroidota; Sphingobacteriia; Sphingobacteriales; Sphingobacteriaceae.